Long non-coding RNA from Mesocricetus auratus (golden hamster), 1131 nucleotides. RefSeq lists it as uncharacterized. The record is from RefSeq and is a predicted model, not a curated record. The transcript has 4 exons. Lineage: Eukaryota; Metazoa; Chordata; Mammalia; Rodentia; Cricetidae.
AGACUGCCCUGCAUCGGGAAGACUUUUUAGAAAUGGAAACAUUCCUUCCAGUUCCUCACUGGGGUCCGGAGAGAGGCACCAACUUUAAUCUUCUUUUCCCAGGCACUGGCUCCCAGCUCCAUGCUAUCCCUCCCAGUCACUGGGAAACUCAGUAUUUCUACAAACACACUCAGACUUCUUUGAUUCCAGAAACACUGACGGGCAUGACAGAUGAAGAAAACACCAAGGCUCCUGUUAAGUAAUGCAAAGAAACUAAAUGUGAUCCACCGUAUCAGUCUUCGAUAAGGUGUCCCAGGGUCAUUUGCACUGUUCACUUGGCUAAACUGGAAUCAGCUAGGAGACCGACGACGCACACCCCUGCUGUGCAGUGCCCUGUAGGCAUCCUCAGAGGCUGAAACUGAAGGAGAAACCAAUGUAGAUGGUCCCAUUGCACAGGCCGGAACCUAGAAGAAGUAAAGGUUCUGACCAUGACAGCUAGCCUGUGGCUAGGAGUCCAUUUGUCUCUGCUUCCUGGUUGGCCCACACUGGUUGGCCUUAUGACACCACACUUUCUACUGAAAGCCUAGGGCCAAGCAGCCAUGGACUGGCCCAUUAAGACUAUACAGAAGACAGCUUCCUUUCUUAAGUUGCUGGGACUUACUUCAGUUAACAGGCUGUAACAAAGAAAGAAAGAGAGCUCCCCCCCCACCAUGGAGUACAUGACCACAAAUCUCGGACCCACGAGCAUCUGCAUCAACAUCUUCCACUGCCGCCUUGCCUUGAGAAGACAAGGAACCAGAUGGCCUCUUGCCCUACCCGUCCUAAAACUUUUAGAUCACAGGAUGUGCCGAUUCAUUUUACCUAACCAGCUCCUGAAAAUACACCAUGGAUGACUGACACUGAAGAUAAGAAAUCAUUCUGUUCAAAGGCAGAUGCUCUGCAGGGAAUGCUGCACCUAGACACAAAAGCAUCCUGGGGUUGGAGAUGCAGCAUUGUGAGUUGUUGAAGAGCUCCAUUACGGAAGCCACACAAAACAUCAGGUGUGUACCAUUGGGUACACACUUGCCACCUCAGCACCGGGGAGGGCCAGACAUGGGGACUGAAGUUCAAGGUCAUCAGUGAGCUACACAGUGAGUUCAGGGCCAGCUGAUA